This 1009-nucleotide ribosomal RNA is filed under the name Flavobacterium sp. RNAcentral's name for it is "bacterial SSU rRNA". It matches the Rfam family "Bacterial small subunit ribosomal RNA", at positions 56 to 1072 of the family's 1533-position model. Lineage: Bacteria; Pseudomonadati; Bacteroidota; Flavobacteriia; Flavobacteriales; Flavobacteriaceae. The record is from RNAcentral.
UGCAAGUCGAGGGGUAGAAGAAGCUUGCUUCUUUGAGACCGGCGCACGGGUGCGUAACGCGUAUGCAAUCUACCUUUCACAGAGGGAUAGCCCAGAGAAAUUUGGAUUAAUACCUCAUAGUAAUACGACUUGGCAUCAAGAUGUAUUUAAAGAUUUAUCGGUGAAAGAUGAGCAUGCGUCCCAUUAGCUAGUUGGUAUGGUAACGGCAUACCAAGGCUACGAUGGGUAGGGGUCCUGAGAGGGAGAUCCCCCACACUGGUACUGAGACACGGACCAGACUCCUACGGGAGGCAGCAGUGAGGAAUAUUGGACAAUGGGCGCAAGCCUGAUCCAGCCAUGCCGCGUGCAGGAUGACGGUCCUAUGGAUUGUAAACUGCUUUUAUACAGGAAGAAACACCUCUACGUGUAGAGACUUGACGGUACUGUAAGAAUAAGGAUCGGCUAACUCCGUGCCAGCAGCCGCGGUAAUACGGAGGAUCCAAGCGUUAUCCGGAAUCAUUGGGUUUAAAGGGUCCGUAGGCGGUCAGGUAAGUCAGUGGUGAAAGCCCAUCGCUCAACGGUGGAACGGCCAUUGAUACUGCUUGACUUGAAUUAUUAGGAAGUAACUAGAAUAUGUAGUGUAGCGGUGAAAUGCUUAGAGAUUACAUGGAAUACCAAUUGCGAAGGCAGGUUACUACUAAUAUAUUGACGCUGAUGGACGAAAGCGUGGGUAGCGAACAGGAUUAGAUACCCUGGUAGUCCACGCCGUAAACGAUGGAUACUAGCUGUUGGGAGCAAUCUCAGUGGCUAAGCGAAAGUGAUAAGUAUCCCACCUGGGGAGUACGAACGCAAGUUUGAAACUCAAAGGAAUUGACGGGGGCCCGCACAAGCGGUGGAGCAUGUGGUUUAAUUCGAUGAUACGCGAGGAACCUUACCAAGGCUUAAAUGUAGAUUGACCGGUUUGGAAACAGAUCUUUCGCAAGACAAUUUACAAGGUGCUGCAUGGUUGUCGUCAGCUCGUGCCGUGAGG